RNAcentral lists this ribosomal RNA (253 nucleotides) under uncultured bacterium. RNAcentral's name for it is "partial 16S ribosomal RNA". It matches the Rfam family "Bacterial small subunit ribosomal RNA", at positions 524 to 776 of the family's 1533-position model. The record is from RNAcentral.
UACGUAGGGUGCAAGCGUUGUCCGGAAUUAUUGGGCGUAAAGAGCUCGUAGGCGGCUUGUCGCGUCGACUGUGAAAACCCGGGGCUUAACUUCGGGCUUGCAGUCGAUACGGGCAGGCUGGAGUUCGGUAGGGGAGACUGGAAUUCCUGGUGUAGCGGUGAAAUGCGCAGAUAUCAGGAGGAACACCGGUGGCGAAGGCGGGUCUCUGGGUAGUAACUGACGCUGAGGAACGAAAGCGUGGGUAGCGAACAGG